GUUGAAAUACCGGUUCCCGUACCAUCACCGAAGUUAAGCUACGUCGAACCUGGUCAGUAAUUAGAUGGAUAACUAUUUGGGAAUACAAGUUGCUGUAA
Molecule: non-coding RNA, 98 nt
Organism: Acanthosepion pharaonis
Lineage: Eukaryota; Metazoa; Mollusca; Cephalopoda; Sepiida; Sepiidae
Source: the annotation of a GenBank genome assembly